GCUUGCACCGAGCGGAUGAGUUGCGAACGGGUGAGUAACGCGUAGGUAACCUGCCUGGUAGCGGGGGAUAACUAUUGGAAACGAUAGCUAAUACCGCAUAACAGUCGACAUUGCAUGAUGUUGAUUUGAAAGGGGCAAUUGCUCCACUACCAGAUGGACCUGCGUUGUAUUAGCUAGUUGGUGAGGUAACGGCUCACCAAGGCGACGAUACAUAGCCGACCUGAGAGGGUGAUCGGCCACACUGGGACUGAGACACGGCCCAGACUCCUACGGGAGGCAGCAGUAGGGAAUCUUCGGCAAUGGACGGAAGUCUGACCGAGCAACGCCGCGUGAGUGAAGAAGGUUUUCGGAUCGUAAAGCUCUGUUGUAAGAGAAGAACGAGUGUGAGAGUGGAAAGUUCACACUGUGACGGUAACUUACCAGAAAGGGACGGCUAACUACGUGCCAGCAGCCGCGGUAAUACGUAGGUCCCGAGCGUUAUCCGGAUUUAUUGGGCGUAAAGCGAGCGCAGGCGGUUAGAUAAGUCUGAAGUUAAAGGCUGUGGCUUAACCAUAGUACGCUUUGGAAACUGUUUAACUUGAGUGCAGAAGGGGAGAGUGGAAUUCCAUGUGUAGCGGUGAAAUGCGUAGAUAUAUGGAGGAACACCGGUGGCGAAAGCGGCUCUCUGGUCUGUAACUGACGCUGAGGCUCGAAAGCGU
This 698-nucleotide ribosomal RNA is filed under the name Streptococcus sp. HGB0001. RNAcentral's name for it is "bacterial SSU rRNA". It matches the Rfam family "Bacterial small subunit ribosomal RNA", at positions 74 to 762 of the family's 1533-position model. Lineage: Bacteria; Bacillati; Bacillota; Bacilli; Lactobacillales; Streptococcaceae. The record is from RNAcentral.